GGAAUCUUCCACAAUGGGCGCAAGCCUGAUGGAGCAACACCGCGUGAGUGAAGAAGGGUUUCGGCUCGUAAAGCUCUGUUGUUAAAGAAGAACACGUAUGAGAGUAACUGUUCAUACGUUGACGGUAUUUAACCAGAAAGUCACGGCUAACUACGUGCCAGCAG
RNAcentral lists this ribosomal RNA (164 nucleotides) under uncultured bacterium. RNAcentral's name for it is "partial 16S ribosomal RNA". It matches the Rfam family "Bacterial small subunit ribosomal RNA", at positions 358 to 514 of the family's 1533-position model. The record is from RNAcentral.